RNAcentral lists this ribosomal RNA (552 nucleotides) under Tainokia logachevae. RNAcentral describes it as "partial 16S ribosomal RNA". It matches the Rfam family "Bacterial large subunit ribosomal RNA", at positions 1796 to 2620 of the family's 2925-position model. Lineage: Eukaryota; Metazoa; Annelida; Polychaeta; Eunicida; Oenonidae. The record is from RNAcentral.
UCGCCUGUUUAUCAAAAACAUUGCCUUACGUUAACUUAUGUAAGGUUCAUCCUGCCCAGUGAUAUUUUCAACGGCCGCGGUACCCUGACCGUGCAAAGGUAGCAUAAUCACUUGCCUUCUAAUUAAAGGCUAGCAUGAACGGACAAACGAAAGUUUAACUGUCUCUCUCAGAUUUACUAUAAAUUAGCCUCUAGGUGAAGAGACCUAGAUUAUCCUAAAGGACAAAAAGACCCUGUCGAGCUUUACCUUCCCCUGUUUUAUACAUUAAUCCACCAUCAAACCACCAAAACAGAACAAGUUAAGUUGGGGCGACUUAGGACCACACAAAACGUCCCUCUAAUAAAAGAAAUCCAUCACACAAAUGAUCCGCCCUUCUAAGCGAACAACAAAAAUAGCUACCGCAGGGAUAACAGACUAAUCCUCCUAAAGAGUUCAAAUUGACAGGAGGGAUUGGCACCUCGAUGUUGGCUUAAGGCAUCUCUUGAGUGCAGCAGCCCAAGAAGUAGGUUUGUUCAACCUUUAAAGCCUUACGUGAUCUGAGUUCAGACCGGA